This 364-nucleotide ribosomal RNA is filed under the name uncultured bacterium. RNAcentral describes it as "bacterial SSU rRNA". It matches the Rfam family "Bacterial small subunit ribosomal RNA", at positions 1 to 334 of the family's 1533-position model. The record is from RNAcentral.
UCGCGUGUCUCAGAGUUUGAUCCUGGCUCAGGAUGAACGCUGGCGGCGUGCUUAACACAUGCAAGUCGAACGGAGUUUACAUGUGAGCGGAGGGUGCUUGCAUCUAACAAUCUUUUGUAAACUUAGUGGCGGACGGGUGAGUAACGCGUGGGUAACCUGCCGUAUACAGGGGGACAACAGUUGGAAACGACUGCUAAUACCGCAUAAGCGCACAGGACCGCAUGGUCUGGUGUGAAAAACUCCGGUGGUAUACGAUGGACCCGCGUCUGAUUAGCUAGUUGGUGAGGUAACGGCCCACCAAGGCGACGAUCAGUAGCCGGCCUGAGAGGGUGAACGGCCACAUUGGGACUGAGACACGGCCCAA